UACGGGGGGAGCAAGCGUUGUUCGGAUUUACUGGGCGUAAAGGGUGCGUAGGCGGUCAGCACAAGUCAGUUGUGAAAUCUCCGGGCUUAACUCGGAAAGGUCAACUGAUACUGUGCGACUAGAGUGCAGAAGGGGCAACUGGAAUUCUCGGUGUAGCGGUGAAAUGCGUAGAUAUCGAGAGGAACACCUGCGGCGAAGGCGGGUUGCUGGGCUGACACUGACGCUGAUGCGCGAAAGCCAGGGGAGCGAACGGG
This 254-nucleotide ribosomal RNA is filed under the name uncultured bacterium. RNAcentral's name for it is "partial 16S ribosomal RNA". It matches the Rfam family "Bacterial small subunit ribosomal RNA", at positions 524 to 776 of the family's 1533-position model. The record is from RNAcentral.